GUAAAUCAGAAUAAAAUCAAUUCAUUUGAAGUAAAAUAAAUUCCAUUAUACUCUAUUUUGACCAUAUGAUCAACACUUGUUCAUAGUGCCAUUUACUUUGUGUUCUUCACUCUCGCGCUGUGUUGUGAUCGUUCGAAACUCAUUGCCAGAACGAAUGCAAAUUUCAUUUGGGAAGGAUUGGUGCUGCAAGAUGCAGCAAAAAUCAUUAAAUGUUAAUAGAAAAGUGGUUAAGUAAAUCGUGAAAGAUGUCAACGCAGGCGUAAAUGCAGUAUGUUUUGUUACAUGAUCUACGGCUAUUUCAUUGCCAAAGCUCCUGAUAAUGGAUCAAAGCAGAUGGAUCGGGCAUACAGAGUCGCCAUUUAACAUUAAAUAUCUUCUUGAUCGGCAAACGCAUCAAACACCAAGUGUUUCUCUUCCAACAGCACGCGCCAUCGGUGGAGCAAGCAGCCAACGAUUUGAUCGCCAGUACGCGCCAUCAAGAAUUGAUAUUUUGCCAAACAGUACUGUGAAUAAAAAACUGCACACUUACUGUCCGAGUUUCCUGGAAUUUUUUGAUCGGUCUACGCUCGCGGGAAUGGUGGGUUCGUUGAGGAGAAGGAAAGAAAGGGUGGGAGCGAGAAUUAACCAAAAACGCGGCAUUGAGAAUGAGGGGAGGUGCGCUCAGCGCUCACGCUGGGACACUCACGAUGCUUGAAAUAAAAUGUUAACAAGCAUCGAUUUCAAGCAUGCAUGUCGCGCGACAUUUUGCCAAGCGGGCGG
Anopheles coluzzii is the source of this 759-nucleotide long non-coding RNA. RefSeq lists it as uncharacterized. Lineage: Eukaryota; Metazoa; Arthropoda; Insecta; Diptera; Culicidae. The transcript is spliced from 3 exons. The record is from RefSeq and is a predicted model, not a curated record.